Molecule: ribosomal RNA, 429 nt
Filed under: Fusobacteriota bacterium
Lineage: Bacteria; Fusobacteriati; Fusobacteriota
Description: Fusobacteria bacterium partial 16S ribosomal RNA
Rfam family: Bacterial small subunit ribosomal RNA
Source: RNAcentral
UGGGGAAUCUUCCGCAAUGGACGAAAGUCUGACGGAGCAACGCCGCGUGAGUGAAGACGGCCUUCGGGUUGUAAAGCUCUGUUAUUCGGGAAGAACGAUUCGUUUGUGAACAAUGAACGGAAGUGACGGUACCGAAAGAGAAAGCCACGGCUAACUACGUGCCAGCAGCCGCGGUAAUACGUAGGUGGCUAGCGUUGUCCGGAAUUAUUGGGCGUAAAGAGCGCGUAGGCGGUAUGGUACGUCUGUCUUAGAAGGGCGGGGCUUAACCCCGUGAGGGGACAGAGACUGUCAUACUGGAGUCUCGGAGAGGAAAGCGGAAUUCCUAGUGUAGCGGUGAAAUGCGUAGAGAUUAGGAAGAACACCGGUGGCGAAGGCGGCUUUCUGGACGAGCACUGACGCUGAGGCGCGAAAGCGUGGGGAGCGAACAGG